This 292-nucleotide ribosomal RNA is filed under the name uncultured bacterium. RNAcentral describes it as "partial 16S ribosomal RNA". The record is from RNAcentral. RNAcentral also lists the same sequence under 1 other name.
GGACUACUCGGGUUUCUAAUCCUGUUUGCUCCCCACGCUCUCGCGCCUCAGCGUCAGUGUCAGUCCAGAUAGCCGCCUUCGCCACUGGUGUUCCUUCCGAUAUCUACGCAUUUCACCGCUACACCGGAAAUUCCACUAUCCUCUACUGCACUCCAGUCAUCCAGUAUCAGAUGCAGUUCCUAGGUUAAGCCCAGGGAUUUCACAUCUAACUUAAAUGUCCGCCUACGCGCCCUUUACGCCCAGUAAUUCCGAUUAACGCUCGCACCCUCUGUAUUACCGCGGCUGCUGGCAC